CCUACGGGACGCACCAGUGGGGAAUAUUGCACAAUGGGCGCAAGUCUGAUACAGCCAUGCCGCGUGUAUGAAGAAGGCCUUAGGGUUGUAAAGUACUUUCAGUUGGGAGGAAGGCGUUGAUGCUAAUAUCAUCAACGAUUGACGUUACCAACAGAAGAAGCACCGGCUAACUCCGUGCCAGCAGCCGCGGUAAUACGGAGGGUGCAAGCGUUAAUCGGAAUUACUGGGCGUAAAGCGCACGCAGGCGGUUGAUUAAGUUAGAUGUGAAAUCCCCGGGCUUAACCUGGGAAUGGCAUCUGAGACUGGUCAGCUAGAGUCUUGUAGAGGGGGGUAGAAUUCCAUGUGUAGCGGUGAAAUGCGUAGAGAUGAGGAGGAAUACCGGUGGCGAAGGCGGCCCCCUGGACAAAGACUGACGCUCAGGUGCGAAAGCGUGGGGAGCAAACAGGAUUAGAUACCCUCGUAGUC
RNAcentral lists this ribosomal RNA (465 nucleotides) under uncultured bacterium. Its description in RNAcentral is "bacterial SSU rRNA". It matches the Rfam family "Bacterial small subunit ribosomal RNA", at positions 338 to 795 of the family's 1533-position model. The record is from RNAcentral.